GAAGUUACCUGGCAGAGGCGAUACCAUGAUCAAGUAGGUGGUUUUCCUAAGGUGAGGCUCAUCUGGCACUCAGGGCAUGCUGCCUCCUUUGAUUUCCCCAUGUGGGGCAAACUUUGUGUCGUUUGUGGUAGUGAGGGACUGUGUUCACACUUUAA
This is a small nuclear RNA of Mus spicilegus (steppe mouse), 155 nucleotides long. Its record names the gene U1. It matches the Rfam family "U1 spliceosomal RNA". Rfam says of the family: U1 is a small nuclear RNA (snRNA) component of the spliceosome (involved in pre-mRNA splicing). Its 5' end forms complementary base pairs with the 5' splice junction, thus defining the 5' donor site of an intron. There are significant differences in sequence and secondary structure between metazoan and yeast U1 snRNAs, the latter being much longer (568 nucleotides as compared to 164 nucleotides in human). NCBI's taxonomy places the organism in Eukaryota, Metazoa, Chordata, Mammalia, Rodentia, Muridae. The record is from Ensembl.